RNAcentral lists this ribosomal RNA (247 nucleotides) under uncultured Lactobacillus sp. RNAcentral describes it as "partial 16S ribosomal RNA". It matches the Rfam family "Bacterial small subunit ribosomal RNA", at positions 796 to 1041 of the family's 1533-position model. The record is from RNAcentral. Lineage: Bacteria; Bacillati; Bacillota; Bacilli; Lactobacillales; Lactobacillaceae.
CACGCUGUAAACGAUGAAUGCUAGGUGUUGGAGGGUUUCCGCCCUUCGGUGCCGCAGUUAACGCACUAAGCAUUCCGCCUGGGGAGUACGAUCGCAAGAUUGAAACUCAAAGGAAUUGACGGGGGCCCGCACAAGCGGUGGAGCAUGUGGUUUAAUUCGAAGCAACGCGAAGAACCUUACCAGGUCUUGACAUCUUUUGACCAUCUGAGAGAUCAGAAUUUCCCUUCGGGGACAAAAUGACAGGUGG